GACGAACGCUGGCGGCGUGCCUAAUACAUGCAAGUAGAACGCUGAAGGAGGAUCUUGCUUCUCUGGAUGAGUUGCGAACGGGUGAGUAACGCGUAGGUAACCUGCCUGGUAGCGGGGGAUAACUAUUGGAAACGAUAGCUAAUACCGCAUAAUAGUAGAUGUUGCAUGACAUUUGCUUAAAAGGUGCAAUUGCCUCACUACCAGAUGGACCUGCGUUGUAUUAGCUAGUUGGUGAGGUAACGGCUCACCAAGGCAACGAUACAUAGCCGACCUGAGAGGGUGGUCGGCCAAACUGGGACUGGGACACGGCCCAGAAUCCUUCGGGAGGGAGCAAGAGGGGAACUUCGGAAAUGGAGGGAAGGCUGACCGCGCAACGCCGGGGGGGUGGAGGAGGUUUUCGGAUCGGAAAGCUCUGUUGUAAGGGAAGAAAGAGUGUGAGAGUGGAAAGUUCACGCUGUGACGGUAGCUUAACAGAAAGGGACGGCUAACUACGUG
RNAcentral lists this ribosomal RNA (495 nucleotides) under uncultured bacterium. Its description in RNAcentral is "partial 16S ribosomal RNA". It matches the Rfam family "Bacterial small subunit ribosomal RNA", at positions 28 to 507 of the family's 1533-position model. The record is from RNAcentral.